AGGAUGCUUAAAGGCACAGUGCACUCAAAACCUUUAUGACUUUCUUCUAUGGAACCAUGGAAAACUGGUAGUACAGAACUGGUAAUGUGGAAAUGUUUCAGUGGAGUGGAUUGUCUUAAACCAUUUUAAGUGAGGAAAUUCCUUCUGCCACAAACUCAAAUCUCAACAAGCCUCAGUUAGCCUAUAAUUAGAAAAUGUCAUUUUAGAACUAGAAUUAAAGGAACACUGAAUUGCUUCAUUGAAGUUAAAAGCUUACUACAUUAUAGAGUAUUAUGAGAAAGAGAUGGACUGAUCAAGUGUGAUUAUCUGCAUUUGAUACAGUGUUCAUUCUUUAGGUUAUUCUCAUAAUCAUAAUUAAAAUAUUGUUUGAAUGUCUGCUGAGAAAAGUGAUAUAUUUAUCAUAGUAUCCUUUCAACUGUUAAGGGGAUUUCCCAUGCUGGUCAAUGCAUUUGUAGGUUGCAUACAAGGUGCUGAAAGUAAAAUACUGUACUUGUUUACAACCUUGUUUCAUUCCCUUUCAAAAUGAUAGGCUUUGCUACUAAUCCACUCAUAAAACAGUUGCUUGUCACCAUCUAAUGGAAUGUAACCACAGUCACCAUAACUAACACGCAGACUGCUUCUCAAUACCAAAUACUAUUAUUAAAAACUACUAUUUAUAUAAAAUAAUAUUUAUUGAACAAUAAUAUUUAAUAAACAAGUUGCUAAAUAAUUUAGUUAAAAGUACAAGCACUAUCUUUAUUAAUAAACCAUAUAUUUGAAAUUUAAACAACUACGUUGUUUCCUUAAAAACGAUUGAAACCUGUAAUGGCCUUCCCCUUUAAUUUGUUUUGCUUGGCGUCACCACUAGAUGGCGAAAUAUACUUAUUGCAUAUAAGGGAGAGGAAACAAAGCAAGAGUAUUUUCACGUUUGUUCUUGAUCUAACAAGCUCGAGAAAAUGGUUCUUUUGUACUAUUUGUUUAAUUUAAAAUGUUAAAUGUGUAGUGAAUGUUUGUUUGGUUGUUUAUAUUGUGAAUGUUGAUUGUCUAUUUUGCUUUAUUUAUGUAUUGUUUUUUGUUUUCUUUGUAGUUUUACGGUGCCACCAUGCUGUGAUACAAUUGUUAUGGUGCUAUGAAGUUAAUGUGUAAACACAGUGUUGUGAUGUAUGGAGAACAUUUGCAACAAAGAAUUGAGACAACGAUCACUUCAGCAAUGAAGUUUAUUGCAUCUUAAAAUAAAUCGAAGGCACCCGUCGAAAACUCUCUGUUUCUUUUCUAUGAAACUGAAGGGCCGCUGCUACACAUGAGGUUUCAUUGUGUUGCUGUUGUUUCAUCGCGUGAGUGGGACACUGGACUUUGCAUCUAAAGCGCUGAUUGAAUCACGUCACGUCACGUCACAGGAGACGGAUACUUCAUCAGGAUUGUAAAAUUACACAGUCAGUUGGAGCGCGGCUCAUUCACGAACGUUUGGAUGGUGAUCGUAUAUCAACGUUACCGUUACAGAUGAAAAGGUAAACUUUCAGUAAAAGAACGUUACAUGAAGUAAGACUGCAAAUACAACUUUCUGGACUGUGUGAGUUGAAAUCUUUACAAUUAAAGACCCUUUAGAUGUUUAAAAAAUAUUUUGAAUUUUAUAGAGAAUUGAAGUGCAAGAUAUGAAGUUGAAUGAGUUAUGAAAUAUUGAUUUAAGACGUUGAAGUUAUUGAUUUGAGUCUGAUUUUAUAAGUUAUUGACUGCCACAGGUAAACGCUGGGGUUUAUAUUUAUGGUAGCCUAUAUGUUACAAGCAUGUAUAUAAUGUUGAAUGUCAAAGAAUUUGUGAUCAUGUUGCAUAUAUAAUUUGACUUAUUACCAUCGCUGAUUAUUUGAGUGUCUAAAUUAUAGAUGUCUGAUAUGAGUAAUUCAUUGCUC
Long non-coding RNA from Cyprinus carpio carpio, 1886 nucleotides. NCBI's taxonomy places the organism in Eukaryota, Metazoa, Chordata, Actinopteri, Cypriniformes, Cyprinidae. The record is from Ensembl.